UACGGGGGGGGCAAGCGUUGUUCGGAAUUACUGGGCGUAAAGGGCGCGUAGGCGGCCUGCUAAGUCGGACGUGAAAUCCCUCGGCUCAACCGGGGAACUGCGUCCGAUACUGGCGAGGCUUGAAUCCGGGAGAGGGAUGUGGAAUUCCAGGUGUAGCGGUGAAAUGCGUAGAUAUCUGGAGGAACACCGGUGGCGAAGGCGGCAUCCUGGACCGGCAUUGACGCUGAGGCGCGAAAGCUAGGGGAGCAAACGGG
This 254-nucleotide ribosomal RNA is filed under the name uncultured bacterium. Its description in RNAcentral is "partial 16S ribosomal RNA". It matches the Rfam family "Bacterial small subunit ribosomal RNA", at positions 524 to 776 of the family's 1533-position model. The record is from RNAcentral.